Molecule: ribosomal RNA, 305 nt
Filed under: uncultured bacterium
Lineage: Bacteria
Description: bacterial SSU rRNA
Rfam family: Bacterial small subunit ribosomal RNA
Source: RNAcentral
CCUACGGGACGCAGCAGUGGGGGAUAUUGCACAAUGGGGGAAACCCUGAUGCAGCGACGCCGCGUGAGCGAUGAAGUAUUUCGGUAUGUAAAGCUCUAUCAGCAGGGAAGAAAAUGACGGUACCUGACUAAGAAGCCCCGGCUAACUACGUGCCAGCAGCCGCGGUAAUACGUAGGGGGCAAGCGUUAUCCGGAUUUACUGGGUGUAAAGGGAGCGUAGACGGCGGCGCAAGCCAGAUGUGAAAGCCCGGGGCUCAACCCCGGGACUGCAUUUGGAACUGUGCCGCUAGAGUGUCGGAGAGGCAG